RNAcentral lists this ribosomal RNA (255 nucleotides) under uncultured prokaryote. RNAcentral's name for it is "partial 16S ribosomal RNA". It matches the Rfam family "Bacterial small subunit ribosomal RNA", at positions 521 to 775 of the family's 1533-position model. The record is from RNAcentral.
UAAUACGGGGGGGGCAAGCGUUGUUCGGAAUUACUGGGCGUAAAGGGCUCGUAGGCGGCCAACUAAGUCAGACGUGAAAUCCCUCGGCUCAACCGGGGAAUUGCGUCUGAUACUGGAUGGCUUGAGUUUGGGAGAGGGAUGCGGAAUUCCAGGUGUAGCGGUGAAAUGCGUAGAUAUCUGGAGGAACACCGGUGGCGAAGGCGGCAUCCUGGACCAACACUGACGCUGAGGAGCGAAAGCCAGGGGAGCAAACGG